UAAGACGAGUGGUCAAACUUGAUAUUAAAAAAGUCAAACGACUUACAAUUUGGGAUGGAUUGAGUAGAAAACAAGACCUUAAACAUUGGCGACGGCGUCUUGUCUCGCCGACGGCCGGCCUCUUCGGUUGCCGUGGUUACUCCUAAUAUUUGGACGAUUGGGAUCGGACAUUGAUUGGAGUAGUAGUACUCACGCCUCACGCCUGACGGGGGGCAGGGACCUGGGCGAAUCUGCAGAAAAGCGGCGGAUGCCUCUGCAUUGCAGGAUUCGGCUGCUCGAUCUGUCGUACUGCCG
RNAcentral lists this long non-coding RNA (294 nucleotides) under Sorghum bicolor (sorghum). RNAcentral describes it as "long non-coding RNA (SBIC_LNC007396)". Lineage: Eukaryota; Viridiplantae; Streptophyta; Magnoliopsida; Poales; Poaceae. The record is from RNAcentral.